This 254-nucleotide ribosomal RNA is filed under the name uncultured bacterium. RNAcentral describes it as "partial 16S ribosomal RNA". It matches the Rfam family "Bacterial small subunit ribosomal RNA", at positions 524 to 777 of the family's 1533-position model. The record is from RNAcentral.
UACGUAGGGUGCGAGCGUUAAUCGGAAUUACUGGGCGUAAAGCGUGCGCAGGCGGUUUUGUAAGCCAGAUGUGAAAUCCCCGGGCUCAACCUGGGAAUGGCAUUUGGGACUGCAAGGCUGGAGUACGGCAGAGGAGACUGGAAUUCCUGGUGUAGCAGUGAAAUGCGUAGAGAUCAGGAGGAAUACCGAUGGCGAAGGCAGGUCUCUGGGCUGAUACUGACGCUCAUGCACGAAAGCGUGGGGAGCAAACAGGG